This 429-nucleotide RNase P RNA is filed under the name Desulfuromonadales bacterium. RNAcentral describes it as "RNase P RNA component class A". It matches the Rfam family "Bacterial RNase P class A". From Rfam's summary of the family: Ribonuclease P (RNase P) is a ubiquitous endoribonuclease, found in archaea, bacteria and eukarya as well as chloroplasts and mitochondria. Its best characterised activity is the generation of mature 5'-ends of tRNAs by cleaving the 5'-leader elements of precursor-tRNAs. Lineage: Bacteria; Pseudomonadati; Thermodesulfobacteriota; Desulfuromonadia; Desulfuromonadales. The record is from RNAcentral.
GGAGACAACCAGACGAUUGCCGCCUGCUGGAGCCUUGAGCGAAGGCGGGGGGAGGAAAGUCCGGGCUCCACAGGGCAGGAUGGUCCUUAACGGGGACCGGGGGCGACCCCAGGGAAAGUGCCACAGAGAGAAGACCGCCCCAGCUUCAUCAAGACCAUGGCGGGUUUUCCCGUUAAAGUCUUUGGUGAAGGUGAGGUAAGGGUGAAAGGGUGAGGUAAGAGCUCACCAGUGCCGGUGGUGACAUCGGCAGCUCGGUAAACCCCAUCCGGAGCAAGGCCAAAUAGGGGAGUGCUUGAGGACGGCCCGUCCGAAACUCCCGGGUCAGGCUGCUUGAGGCCGUCGGCAACGACGGUCCUAGAGGAAUGAUCGUCGUCCCGCAGCAGGUAACUGCUACGGGGAACAGAACCCGGCUUACGGUUCUCUCCAACC